Molecule: ribosomal RNA, 816 nt
Filed under: uncultured bacterium
Lineage: Bacteria
Description: bacterial SSU rRNA
Rfam family: Bacterial small subunit ribosomal RNA
Source: RNAcentral
GGGAUGUGUUAGUGGCAGACGGGUGCGUAACACGUAGGUGACCUACCCUAAAGUGGGGAAUAACCAUUCUAACGGAUGGAUAAUACCGCAUAUGUUCGGCAAUUCGUUUUGUCGAGUAAAGCCGAAAGGCGCUUUGGGACGGGCCUGCGGCGGAUUAGGUAGUUGGUGGGGUGACGGCCUACCAAGCCGACGAUCCGUAGGGGGCGUGAGAGCGUGGCCCCCCACACUGGCACUGAGAUACGGGCCAGACUCCUACGGGAGGCAGCAGUGAGGAAUAUUGCACAAUGGGCGAAAGCCUGAUGCAGCAACGCCGCGUGAGGGACGAAGGCCUUCGGGUCGUAAACCUCUUUUCUGGGGGAAGAGACGGGACGGUACCUCAGGAAUAAGUCUCGGCUAACUACGUGCCAGCAGCCGCGGUAAAACGUAGGAGGCGAGCGUUAUCCGGAUUUACUGGGCGUAAAGCGCGCGCAGGCGGUUCCGUUAGUCGGACGUGAAAGCUCCUGGCUUAACUAGGAGAGGCCGUUCGAUACUGCGGGACUUGAGGUUGGGAGAGGGGUGUGGAAUUCCCGGUGUAGUGGUGGAAUGCGUAGAUAUCGGGAGGAACACCUGUGGCGAAAGCGGCACCCUGGCCCACACCUGACGCUGAGGUGCGAAAGCGUGGGUAGCAAACAGGAUUAGAUACCCCUGGUAGUCCACGCUGUAAACGAUGCAACUGGGGUGUUCCGGUAGUUUUACCACUAAUCGGUGCCGAAGCUAACGCGUUAAGUUGACCGCCGGGGGACUACGGCGCACGCUAAACUCAAAGGAAUUUGACGG